CAGGCAAUUUGAUUGCUAGAAAAUUUUGAAAUGAUUUACCUUGAUGGAUUCUACCGCGAGAGGAGUCUUCUUAAUUUCGGAUGGAGGGAUUGUCUCCAGAAGCUCCUUCAUAUACGCGGAUGCCUUCCACCGCGGCUAAUUGAACCCCCAUCGGGCAGAUGAGGGCGACGUUGUAUGACUCCACUGUUUGCUCUUGGGUCCUUGGCAUACCCACGACGCUCGUCGCCAGGAUGAGAAGAAGGAGUAAAAUUUGUUCAUACUCUCUUUGGCUUCUAGGAGUCUCAAGUGAUAGGAUAAUGCGCAAUCAUCUGAACUACUUAGUUAACUAAUGCAUGGAGCAAGCGUUGA
This 348-nucleotide small RNA is filed under the name Histoplasma capsulatum. RNAcentral's name for it is "hypothetical RNA". The record is from RNAcentral. RNAcentral also lists the same sequence under 1 other name. Lineage: Eukaryota; Fungi; Ascomycota; Eurotiomycetes; Onygenales; Ajellomycetaceae.